Molecule: ribosomal RNA, 253 nt
Filed under: uncultured bacterium
Lineage: Bacteria
Description: partial 16S ribosomal RNA
Rfam family: Bacterial small subunit ribosomal RNA
Source: RNAcentral
UACAGGGGGUGCAAACGUUGCUCGGAAUCAUUGGGCGUAAAGCGCACGUAGGCGGCUUAGCAAGUCGGAAGUGAAAGCCCUCGGCUCAACCAAGGAAGUGCUUUCGAAACUGCUGAGCUUGAGUACUUAAGAGGAUCGCGGAAUUCCCGGUGUAGAGGUGAAAUUCGUAGAUAUCGGGAGGAACACCAGUGGCGAAGGCGGCGAUCUGGGAAGAUACUGACGCUGAGGUGCGAAAGCGUGGGGAGCAAACAGG